RNAcentral lists this long non-coding RNA (460 nucleotides) under Gallus gallus (chicken). Lineage: Eukaryota; Metazoa; Chordata; Aves; Galliformes; Phasianidae. The record is from RNAcentral.
GGGAGGUUUUUGCUGUGGGUAUAAUACUUGUCACUACUGCUCUGUCCUGAAACAUCCCAGACAGAGGGCUCCACUUUCAGUUUCUUGGCACUGCAGAAGGCACUCGAGGAUACUGACGGAGGGGAAAACACCUGCAGCUGUGAGGCCAUACCGCCGGUGGGGGGUUCUCAGCCGCGGGCCGAAGCUGCCUGGGGGACACGCGGGGGUGCGGAGCCCCGCAGCGGGCGCAUCAUAGCCCCGCCGCGGCCGCCGGCCCGGCCCGCUCGGCCCGCGCACGCCGGGGGGAGCCCCCAGGCCGCUUCGCCGCCGCCGCCAGGCUCCGCCGCGCCCUCACGGCACGGCCGGGCUCCCCCAGCUCCGCGCCGCCGCCGACCGCCGCCCGGGCCCGAGCGCCUCCGCCGCGCUCCCGCCGCUCCGGGCCCCUCGGCCGCUGGCGCCAGACUGAGGCAGCCGAGCCCCG